RNAcentral lists this ribosomal RNA (740 nucleotides) under uncultured bacterium. Its description in RNAcentral is "bacterial SSU rRNA". It matches the Rfam family "Bacterial small subunit ribosomal RNA", at positions 8 to 796 of the family's 1533-position model. The record is from RNAcentral.
AGAGUUUGAUCCUGGCUCAGGAUGAACGCUGGCGGUAUGCUUAACACAUGCAAGUCGAACGGACUCUUCGGAGUUAGUGGCGGACGGGUGAGUAACGCGUGAGAAUCUGGCUUCAGGUUCGGGACAACAGUUGGAAACGGCUGCUAAUACCGGAUGUGCCUUAUGGUGAAAGAUUUAUCACCUGAAGAUGAGCUCGCGUCUGAUUAGCUAGUAGGUGUGGUAAGAGCGCACCUAGGCGACGAUCAGUAGCUGGUCUGAGAGGAUGAUCAGCCACACUGGGACUGAGACACGGCCCAGACUCCUACGGGAGGCAGCAGUGGGGAAUUUUCCGCAAUGGGCGAAAGCUGACGGAGCAAUACCGCGUGAGGGAGGAAGGCUCUUGGGUUGUAAACCUCUUUUCUCAGGGAAGAAUGAUGACGGUACCUGAGGAAUAAGCAUCGGCUAACUCCGUGCCAGCAGCCGCGGUAAUACGGAGGAUGCAAGCGUUAUCCGGAAUGAUUGGCGUAAAGCGUCCGCAGNNGGCAAUGUAAGUCUGCUGUCAAAGCGUCUGGCUCAACCAGAUAAAGGCAGUGGAAACUACAUAGCUAGAGUAAGGUAGGGGUAGAGGGAAUUCCUGGUGUAGCGGUGAAAUGCGUAGAGAUCAGGAAGAACACCGGUGGCGAAAGNNCUCUGCUGGACCUUAACUGACACUGAGGGACGAAAGCUAGGGGAGCGAAUGGGAUUAGAUACCCCAGUAGUCC